Molecule: unclassified non-coding RNA, 250 nt
Filed under: plant metagenome
Description: partial contains small subunit ribosomal RNA, internal transcribed spacer 1, and 5.8S ribosomal RNA
Source: RNAcentral
GUAGGUGAACCUGCGGAAGGAUCAUUAACACGUAUCCAACGUUAAACAACCCCGUGAACCUUCAGCCUGCUCUCGUAGCCCACGCGGCAACACCAGUCGAAGACUUCUUUUCAGUUGAUUAUUUCGCCUUUAUCACCUGUGGCAGAGGCUACGUCACAUGCCACAAGGUGUCUACACUGUGGUGAAGAUUGAUUAUGUUGGUAAGGGUGGGAUAUCAGUUCUCAAGGUUUGUGUGCUUUGUUGUGUGAUU